RNAcentral lists this unclassified non-coding RNA (847 nucleotides) under Hevea brasiliensis (rubber tree). The record is from RNAcentral. Lineage: Eukaryota; Viridiplantae; Streptophyta; Magnoliopsida; Malpighiales; Euphorbiaceae.
AAAAAAAGAACCUGUCAACUUCUUUCUUUCUUCAUACAUUUCUUCUUCUUCUUUUUCUUCGCAUCUCAAAAGCAAAGACUUUAAAAAAAAAUGAAGAAAGCACAAAAUAGCUAUUUGGAGAUGAAAACUCACCGCCAAUUCCUCGCAGAGAAGCCAUGGUUUCUCGCCAUUCUCGUUGCUGCCUCUUUCAUCGCUGCUCUACUCGUCGCCAGCAGUAUUACAGGAUCAUCAUCUAGCUCCUUCUUAUGCUCCUUAAGUGGAGCGUAUAAAACAUCAGCGGUGGAUGAGUACGCAACCACCCCGACACAGCUUGACGCCAUUCUUCACUAUGCCACGUCGCGUGUGGUUCCACAACAAUCACGUGCUGAAAUCACUCUUUCUUUCGACGUUCUGAAAGCCCUUGCUCCAUGCAAUUUUCUUGUCUUCGGACUGGGCCAUGAUUCCUUAAUGUGGACCUCGCUUAAUCCACGUGGCACCACCAUAUUCUUGGAAGAAGAUCCAAAGUGGGUCCAUACGGUUCUCCAACGUGCUCCAAAUCUGCGAGCCUAUGUAAUCAAGUACCCAACACAACUACGAGAGGCAGACAAGCUUCUUUCCUCAUAUAAGCGAGAGAAGGAAUGCAUGCCACCAGAUGUUCGACUGAAGGGUAACACACGGUGUAAGUUAGCACUGAGCAUGUUGCCAGAUGAGAUAUUAGAUAAAGAAUGGGAUGUGAUCAUGAUAGACGCACCACGAGGGUAUUUUGCAGAGGCACCAGGGAGGAUGGGAGCAAUAUUCUCAGCGGCGGUGAUGGCUCGUGCAAGGACUCGGCCAGGUGUGACUCAUGUAUACUUGCAUGAUGUGGAUA